This 587-nucleotide unclassified non-coding RNA is filed under the name uncultured Bordetella sp. Its description in RNAcentral is "partial 16S-23S ribosomal RNA intergenic spacer". It matches the Rfam family "Bacterial small subunit ribosomal RNA", at positions 902 to 1498 of the family's 1533-position model. The record is from RNAcentral. Lineage: Bacteria; Pseudomonadati; Pseudomonadota; Betaproteobacteria; Burkholderiales; Alcaligenaceae.
AAAAGGAAUUGAUUUGGGACCUGCACAAGCGGUGGAUGAUGUGGAUUAAUUCGAUGCAACGCGAAAACCUUUACCUACCCUUGACAUGUCUGGAAUCCCGAAGAGAUUUUGGAGUGCUCGCAAGAGAACCGGAACACAGGUGCUGCAUGGCUGUCGUCAGCUCGUGUCGCGAGAUGUUGGGUUAAGUCCCGCAACGAGCGCAACCCUUGUCAUUAUUACAUGAAAGGGCACUCUAAUGAGACUGCCGGUGACAAACCGGGAGGAAGGUGGGGAUGACGUCAAGUCCUCAUGGCCCUUAUGGGCAGGGUCACACGUCAUACAAUGGUCGGGACAGAGGGCUGCCAACCCGCGAGGGGGAGCCAAUCCCAGAAAAACCCGAUCGUAGUCCGGAUCGCAGUCUGCAACUCGACCGCGUGAAGUCGGGAAUCGCUAGUAAUCGCGGAUCAAGAUGUCGCGUGAAUACGUUCCCGGUUCGGUACACUGCCCGUCACACCAUGGGAGUGGUUUACCAGAAGUAGUUAGCCUAACCGUAAGGAGGGCGAUUACCACGGUAGGAUCUAGUGACUGGGGUGAAGUCGUACAAGGUA